This 1211-nucleotide long non-coding RNA is filed under the name Anas zonorhyncha (Eastern spot-billed duck). RNAcentral describes it as "lncRNA (ENSAZOG00000002052.1)". The record is from RNAcentral. Lineage: Eukaryota; Metazoa; Chordata; Aves; Anseriformes; Anatidae.
GGAAAAUUAACUCCAACCUAACUGAAAGCAGGGCGUAAAUUAUAGUGAUGUAUAGAACCUAGUCUUUGUAUUUAACCUUCUUGAAGGCUGUGACUAAUUUGCUUUAACAAAGAUGGUUAAGUCUCUUUGGAUUUAUGUCAUGAUCUCUUAAAGCAAACGCUUUCAGAAAGGCACCAGUUGUUAUUGAUUGUCCUGUUGGGUGUGCCUUGUGCCAUCUUGGGAAGCUUAUUCUUCUGGCUCUUUGAAUUAUUAUUUUUCUUUAAAGGAUUGUUGAUAUUCUUUUUACUCCCAGAAGAUCUGGAAUCAGUUCUUUUGAAACUCGGACUGCAAGCUAUUUCUGUGAAUGUAGAUCUGCUUAAUGCAUGCAGAUAGAAUAGGAAUAGUACCGAUAUUGGGGUAAUUUAUUCUGAAAUGCAGCAAAAAUUUGAGUUGAUACAUUUGCCUUUUCUUCUUUGAUACGCAAAAAAAUAGGAAACUGUCAAGUAUUAUAGUUGUCCCUAUACUGAGGCAGGUAAAGUAAUAAUUUGUUUUGGAAUAAGCAGUUGACAAACACCUUUUCUUUCACUGCCAAUCUUACCUUUGCUUACCAUGUAUUUCAUGCACGCUGUUAUGUUAUCAUAGUGCUUACAGCAUCUUUAUUUUUUUUUGUUGUACCUAUGUUUUUUUAUCUGGCUGGGAAUACAGAAAAUUAUCAGUUUAAACAGGUAUUAAGUUAUUCAAGUUUAUUUUUCUGUGUUCACAUAUACAACAAACACAGAUAAGCUCAUAACACAUGGCUAGUAUUACCUAAGUGUAGGCAAGUUACGCUUGUAUUAAAAAUUGAAAAAUCUGCUUUCUUGCCUUUGUUUAGAUGUUUUGUUUCCUUUUCAGCUGCUUAGAAUUUCCUUCAGGUGUUGGCGCAUUAACCAAGCAAAGGAAGAGAUUAGAAAGAAUUGCUUCAUGCGAUGUUGCUAAAAUUUUAACAGCUUACACUUGGAGAGCCUCAGAGAUCAUUUUUCAGGACAGCCUUAAGACAUUGUGGAUGGAAGACCUCUGUGGCUUCUCUGUUGAUGGCAGAAUGGCCUAGACCAGUCUGUUGCUCUAUGGUUCCUACCACGGGUGCUCUACAGCAAUGCAGUGGGAUUUCACCACCAGUGCUUGUGGACCUUCCAGAUGGCUGUAAAUCUGCAGAGGAGGUUAGUGCAAAAUGUAAUCCAGGAUUUUUAUUUUUU